AGGGAGGGUAGAUAGCCUGGAGACGCUGGACAGAGAGGAUUAACCUCCUGGGGAUACUGAGGGGCUACUUGUGAGAUGGCAAAAAAGAGAUAUGGCAACCAGAAUUUCCCUCAGUCGCCCCUGACAAGUUCUCCUACAUCUUCACACAAAGUAAGAGGGCCGCCACUUCACAGUGAUCUCAGCACUCCUAAUACCAUUUGGAAAAUUCUGGACUUGGAUUAAGCACUACUCAGGCAGGACAGUUCACAGAUAUCUGUGAGCCAUGACUUAAGGCCCAUCAUCUCUGAAGCUAUUUCCAAGUUAGUUAGCAUCAUAUGGACAAACA
RNAcentral lists this long non-coding RNA (325 nucleotides) under Pan troglodytes (chimpanzee). RNAcentral's name for it is "long non-coding RNA NONPTRT003951". The record is from RNAcentral. Lineage: Eukaryota; Metazoa; Chordata; Mammalia; Primates; Hominidae.